CUGGCGGGGCGGAGGGUCGCUGCCGGCGCAAGCCGGCGGAGGAAAGUCCGAACACCGCAGGGCACGGUGCCGCGUAACUCGGGUCGUGCGACUCGAGAUGCACGCGGGCAACGGCGUCGCGAGACGCCCUGACGGAAAGUGCCACAGAAACUCAGACCGCCGCCGGCGCCUCGCGUGUCGGCGGUAAGGGUGCAAAGGUGGUGUAAGAGACCACCGCCCCAAGAGCAAUCGCGGGGGCACGGAAAACCCCACCGGGUGCAAGGCCAAAUAGGAAACCCAGGCGCGGCCCGCGCCGUGGCGCAAGCCGGGUUUCGGGUAGGGCCGCUCAGAGAAAUGAUCCUCUCCGUUCCUCACGGAACGCAGACAGAAUUCGGCUUACAGCCCCGCCGGGAAC
Molecule: RNase P RNA, 394 nt
Filed under: Verrucomicrobiota bacterium
Lineage: Bacteria; Pseudomonadati; Verrucomicrobiota
Description: Verrucomicrobia bacterium (mine drainage metagenome) RNase P RNA component class A
Rfam family: Bacterial RNase P class A
About the family: Ribonuclease P (RNase P) is a ubiquitous endoribonuclease, found in archaea, bacteria and eukarya as well as chloroplasts and mitochondria. Its best characterised activity is the generation of mature 5'-ends of tRNAs by cleaving the 5'-leader elements of precursor-tRNAs. Cellular RNase Ps are ribonucleoproteins.
Source: RNAcentral